Molecule: unclassified non-coding RNA, 3490 nt
Filed under: Hevea brasiliensis (rubber tree)
Lineage: Eukaryota; Viridiplantae; Streptophyta; Magnoliopsida; Malpighiales; Euphorbiaceae
Source: RNAcentral
AAAAAAAAAAAAAAAAAAAAGAUAGGUUCUUGGGCACUACUCUUCUCUUUCUCUCUCUCCCUAUCUCUCUCUCUCUUGCAAAAAACUGUUCUUCUGAAAAUAGCAAAAAGUGGAAUGGAAUAGAAUGUUUUUGAUCUAAACUAACUCCAGAUUUCAGGUUCUCCAAAGUGGAAAUUUUUUUCUCUUACCAAGAAAACAGAGGAAGCAGAGCAACAAAGGAAAAGAAAAACAGAGCAAGAGUGAAGAAAGAGAUGGGAGGGGUGGCAUCGACCAUGGCAGCGAAAUUUGCCUUCUUUCCACCAAACCCACCAUCAUACAAGCUAAUAACCGACGACCUCACUGGUCUCUUGCUUUUGAGCCCCUUCCCUCACCGUGAAAACGUUGAAAUCUUGAAAUUGCCCACUAAGAAAGGUACAGAGAUAGUGGCAAUGCACAUAAGGCAUCCUAUGGCAACCUCCACUCUUCUUUACUCUCACGGUAACGCUGCCGAUCUGGGGCAGAUGUAUGAGCUUUUCAUCGAAUUGAGCAUCCACCUGAGGGUUAAUCUCAUGGGGUAUGACUAUUCCGGUUAUGGACAAUCAUCUGGAAAGCCAAGUGAGCAGAACACAUAUGCAGAUAUUGAAGCCGCAUACAAGUGUCUUGAAGAAAGUUACGGCACCAAGCAAGAAGACAUUAUCCUUUAUGGACAAUCUGUUGGAAGUGGCCCUACCUUAGAUCUUGCUGCUCGACUGCCCCAGUUACGGGCUGUUGUACUGCAUAGUCCCAUACUAUCGGGUUUAAGAGUCAUGUAUCCUGUCAAGCGUACAUACUGGUUCGACAUUUAUAAGAAUAUUGAUAAAAUUCCACUAGUUGAUUGUCCUGUUCUUAUCAUUCAUGGAACUUCAGAUGAGGUGGUCGAUUGCUCCCAUGGUAAGCAACUCUGGGAACUGUGUAAAGAAAAAUACGAACCACUCUGGCUUAAAGGAGGGAACCACUGCGAUCUAGAGCACUUUCCAGAGUAUAUCAGGCACCUGAAGAAGUUCAUAUCAACUGUCGAGAAACCUCCUUGCCAAAGGUACAGUUCAAAGAGAGGUACAGACCAGUUUGGGCAACCCCGGAAGAGUACUGAUGUAUUUGAGGUUUCCAGGAAAAGUACAGAUUGGAGAGAGAAAGCAAGGCAUAGUACUGACAGGCCUGAGAAACUGAAAAACCAAUCCAAUCAUGCUGACAAACUGGAAAAACUCAAAAAUCAGUCUAAUAAUACUGAUAAGCUAGAAAAGCUGCGCAUGGAUCAAAUGGAAAGGUCUCGACGAAGUGUUGAUUGCCAUGAGAAAUCCCGGAAAAGCAUUGAUCAUCAACUGGAAAGAGCACGGAAAAGCGUUGACAGGUUGGAUAGAAUAAGAACUGGUUAAUAUUUAAAACCAACCAUAAAGUUUACGUAUGGGUUAGGUGUUGUGGGCAAUUUGUUUUGGUAUUUCUUUACUAAUUUAUAUGGUUUUUCUGGCUGUGUAAUUGGCUUGUGUCAUCUCUAUAAUAACUAUUGGCAUGAAAUGAGAAAGGGUUUUUAUGUCACAUUGGUUUACUGUUAGUGACUCUUGCAAUAUUACACAUCAUCAUUGUCUUCAUUUUCAAUUUUCAGAAAAUCAAACAUGGUUUUCCAUUCUUGACUGAACUAUAGAUCUUCCAAUGCUGUGCCAUUCAAUCAAUCAUUGGCGUGGACAUCAAUGUAGUGUUCAUAAAUAUAAAGAUUCCUGAGGUGCCUGCCAAAGAGAAAAAGGAGAAAAACUGUCGGAAAGAAUUGAAUAUUCUUGUGAACAUAUAGGGCUUGUUCCGGAGCCCUUGAAAGGCAAUGUCUUACUUGAUAUCAUUUAAAGGAAAAAUAUGAAGUAGCAGCAGCUAAUCUGAUAGUCAUAGAUUGAUUCAAGGAUCUCUAUCAAAGGGCUUUGUAUCAUUGUAACAGACAUCCCAGACAGCUUCCAUGGCAUCCUUUGCAGCAGCUUCUGAGCAGUAUGGGUUGGCAAUCACUGAUUUCAUCGCUCUUCUUCUCACACAUUCCUUCAAAUUUAACAUUGAAAACUUGAGAAAUAUUCUAUCAUUUGAAGAACAUAUUAAACAAGCAGAAGAAAAAAGCAAGACAAGACUACAAAGGGGAAAAGAAAAGAGAGAAAUGUGAUGCAUUUCCUUGUUUUAUAAGGCAGUUAUUUCCAUUCCACAUAUAUUGGGUUGGGUGGCAAAUUUUCCAUUGACAAAGUAUACUUUGCUAUUAGAUAUACAAACUAGUAUGUGUCUAUAAUGAGAGAUAAGAAGAACUCUCUGAUUGCAGUUCUUAUAUUCAAGCUCAGCUCCAAAAUUAAGUAGAUCAUAACAAGGUCCUCUUCUGGAGGGAUAACUUUAUCAAUCUUCUCUUCUUUGAAACCCUCUGUUAAGAUGACAGUCAUCAUCACAGUUUGGGCCAUCAUACUCUCUAGAUUUAGAGGAGUAAUUGUUCAUGGCCUUUUAUUUUCACGUAACCGCGCAGCAGUUCCCUUUUAUAGUGGCAAUCUCCACUUAGAUGGCCAGCACGAAUCUGCGUCACAUAAAUGACAGAAGAAAAAGGAACUAAGUAUCAAAUCUAUAAAAUGAUAUAUUACCUUAGACUAUAUAAUUAUUACUAUGUUACAAUGGAUGCAUAAAAAUUAGUAUUAACCCAAAACAUCUUCAUAAUUGACCUACAUACUCCAAUCUCCAUUAAUCAAUAUGAAAUAUAUAUUGUAAGAUUUCACAUAGAAAUGCACAAAUGGACGCUGUUAUAAAUACACAUUCAAAGAAUCAAACACUUUAACCACCAAUAUUAGUGCAAGUUAAUGAUGCUGUAUGACAUCAAAGAGAAAAGGUAUGGAGCACAUUUUUUCAUGAAUCUCGAUCUUUCUAAUUUUGUUCCUUAGAAACAGAUAAUUUGUAUUUUACAUACAUGGCACAAUUUAUUUUAUCAUGCAAUACAAUAAUUGAUGGCAAAAUGGCCUAUUAUAUUUAAUGCAUACCUAGUUGAUCAAUCAUUAUUGGGUUGUUUUGUACUCUUCCUCCAAGUUUUUUUUUUCACUUAGCAUCAUUGUUAUCAAAAGCGUGCCUCAGGCGUGAGGCACACCAGGCGCAGCCCAUAGUGCCUGAGAAAUCCAAAAGCGCACAACCUCCAAGAGGCACACCUCACGAAGGCCAUCCACACCCAUGCAAUCAUAGAAAGCAAACUAAAAAAAUAAGAAGGAGAAGAAGAAAACGAAGAAGAAGAAGAUCUGAAAAACCUGACUUGAAGAAGAUAUGAAAAACCUGACUUGAUUAUAUCCUCUCCUAGGCUUGGACUUAUUUAAUUUCCGAUCUAGAACUCCAGGUAUGCUUUUCUUGUUUUUCCUUCCUGCUCCUCUCCCUCUCCACCAGACCCAUUUCCACCCGACCUUUCAUUUCCCUUUCUCUUCUAUGCUUUCUUUUCCUCCUUUCCUUUUCAAAAUCUCAGAUCUCACUACAGGCAUGAUGGGCA